This 2554-nucleotide long non-coding RNA is filed under the name Malus domestica (apple). RNAcentral describes it as "long non-coding RNA (MDOM_LNC009133)". The record is from RNAcentral. Lineage: Eukaryota; Viridiplantae; Streptophyta; Magnoliopsida; Rosales; Rosaceae.
GAUUUAUAUAAGAUAAAUGGAGUCUUAUGUUUGUUUGGUCAUAUGUUUUGCAUGCCUCACAGAAGACAGCAAAACAAUUGGAGUUAUGCCCAAUGAAUGUCACCACAACCUGUAUAUACAUUCAACACAACUGCAAUUGUAAGCUAGGGUUGGCCCCUACUACUCAGAGUUGGUCUUCACCGAAGCUGCAGCAACAGUCGAGACCAUGGAGUCCACGCCACAGAUGUUUCGGCCCCUGCAGAUUUUGUAGAAUCCAUUCUCUCCCCAGUUCUCUCCCCAGGAGUUCUUGAUGAUCCAGUAUGGCUUUUCCUUCAAUCUGAUGGGAGAAUAUCCAGCUGCACCGUAACCUACGAGUAACACCCCGUGAUCCAACCGCUUUGAGCAUAUGUAGGGGCAUGAAACUCCACCAACAUAAGUUUGCAUGAACACCGCGUUAAUAGCCACUGCACUCGAACAACGGAAAAUCGUUAACACCAGCCAAUCCUAACCACUAUUAGAGCUUAUGCCAACAUCUUUAACGUAACGCUCUGAAAUUUCACGAUGAACAUAUGAAUAACAAACUACUUAUUAACAGAAAGGGAAAGAAACAAAAUUACAAAUUUCUAAAGUUCUAAGUACCUGCAAGAGGACCAUUUUUCACAAGGUUGGCAGCAAUUUGAUCCUCAUCGAGGGAGACAACGCUGAAAUUGGAAACUGAUGCUGCGAUUUUGCUCUCGUCAAAUUUGCAGGUUCCACGAUCAGUACCAGUGUAUGGAUAAUCCUCUUCCUUCAUUAGUCCACCAGCUUUGAGUGUGUACUCAAAGGCACUGUUCAUGAGUCCACCAUUGCAUCCGGAGUCACAUGAACCUGCCUCCUCUGGAUCACACUGCACAAUGUUCAGAAGGAACGCGUAAGAAACAGCAAUUUAAGGAAAAAUCCUCUCAGUAGGAGUCAUCAUAGAAUGAUUGCAAAAGUCAAGCAGUUCUAUUGCUCAAUAACAAGCAUCAUUCAUUAUGUACUACUACGAAACACAAACACAAGAACUUGAUAACACCAUUCGACAUGCAUUCCUAAUGUAUUAUCAAAGACAACAAAUUGCAACACAUGUAGAAUGAGAACGGUGCUUCAUAAGCAGGAGCGCAUACAUUUCAUCAACGCUGGUUAAAAACAAGAACCACUUCUGUUUCAAAUCCUUCAACACAAUAAGCAAACAACAACCAUUGACCUUUUAGAUCCAAAUGAAACUUAUACAUAUCACAAUCUUAAUAAAUCCAAGACAAAACCCGCCAUGAAUUGUGAUAAACAAAUUAAAACCAAGCAACGCCCGGUUAAAGUAUUCAACAAUCAUGUCACUCCUGAACUCAACACAGAACAGACUAAUACUCACCAACAAUAAGGUUAUAAAUACAACAGAUAUAACAAACAGCAGACACCAAUCACAUCAUAAAGACCAUAUUUCCUGCAACUUAUAAACCAAAUUUUUAGCUAAAUCCUUACAAUUUCAACCUUUUUCCAUUCUCCUUGUGACAAGUGUUGAGACUUCAGACACCGUCUCAGGGUAUGUUAUAAAUGCAACCAAAAAGUUCAAGUUUGUGCCCUUCACUACUGCCAGACAAAAACAAAGUAUAUUUGAGGAAGAUAACUAUUCGUCCUCAUCCAGAUUCCAUGUGGGGCCUCCACAUGCAGACCACAAUUACAAAUUAUUUGAACAAAACAAUUGUAACAAAUAUUCUGACACAAACCCAAAAGAAUUUGCCAAUCAAAAUCGAACAAAAUCAACCAAUCGAAAUCCCCAAAAUAUAUACAAACUAAUAAAAACGCCCAAUUCUUCAUACAGCAGAAACACACCAAAUAAAACAAAAAGAAAAAGAAGCAGUCAAACCUCAUGAUCGCAAUCCACAAGCUGCUGCUCGCUGAGGCUCACAAGAUCUCCAGUUGCGAGAAAGUGUGCACCUUCCAACGCUCCUGUAGUACUGAAACUCCAGCACGAUCCGCACGAACCCUAAUUUCCAAAAAAAAAAAACACCCCGAAUAUCCCAAUCAAUAAACAGAUACCUUAAAGUUAAGUUACAAAAAAAUUACUAAAAAUAAAAAGAAUAAAAGACCUGAUUUUUAACGGCGGUGACGGCUCCAUGCUCCCUCCAAUCAAAAUCCUCAGGCAGAUUCUCCGUCGGGAGAAUCGGAGCCUUGGUGGCGUCCUCGGGCAGCUUCAGCCCUCUGAGUCCGAGUUGACUUUUCCGGAACUCGGCAGGGGUCAUAUCGGAGAACCGAGUCACGCCGUGCUGAGCCGAGGGGUCGAGCCGCUGGUGGCGCGCGGCACGGCGGAGGUUCGCCUUGAACACGUCGAACCUGUAGUCGUGCUCCUCCUUGCUCGCGUACGACUUGCCGUAUUUGUGCUUGAAGAGCGAGAAGUGGUGCUCGGCCCCGAGAACGUGGUCGUGGUCGUGGUCGUGGUGGGACUCAUCGCCGCCGUCCACCACUUGCCUGAUCAGGGGAUCUGCGCUGUCCGAUUGCGCACGCGAGACGAUCAGGAGAGAGAAAGUGACGAGGAGAGAGAGAAUGCGUUCCAUUGUUG